GACGAACGCUGGCGGCGUGCUUAACACAUGCAAGUCGAACGGUGAAGCGCCUUCCUUUUUGGUGGGUGUGGAUGAGUGGCGAACGGGUGAGUAACACGUGAGUAACCUGCCCCCUUCUUCUGGAUAACCGCAUGAAAGUGUGGCUAAUACGGGAUAUUCUGGGUCUGUCGCAUGGUGGGUCUGGGAAAGAUAUUGUUUCGGUGGGGGAUGGGCUCGCGGCCUAUCAGCUUGUUGGUGGGGUGAUGGCCCACCAAGGCGGUGACGGGUAGCCGGCCUGAGAGGGUGGACGGUCACACUGGGACUGAGACACGGCCCAGACUCCUACGGGAGGCAGCAGUGGGGAAUAUUGCACAAUGGGCGCAAGCCUGAUGCAGCGACGCCGCGUGAGGGAUGGAGGCCUUCGGGUUGUGAACCUCUUUCGCCAGUGAAGCAGGCCUGCCUCGUUUGUGGGUGGGUUGACGGUAGCUGGAUAAGAAGCGCCGGCUAACUACGUG
Molecule: ribosomal RNA, 494 nt
Filed under: uncultured bacterium
Lineage: Bacteria
Description: partial 16S ribosomal RNA
Rfam family: Bacterial small subunit ribosomal RNA
Source: RNAcentral